This 352-nucleotide ribosomal RNA is filed under the name uncultured Sphingobacteriales bacterium. RNAcentral describes it as "bacterial SSU rRNA". It matches the Rfam family "Bacterial small subunit ribosomal RNA", at positions 1030 to 1382 of the family's 1533-position model. The record is from RNAcentral. Lineage: Bacteria; Pseudomonadati; Bacteroidota; Sphingobacteriia; Sphingobacteriales.
UAUACAAGGUGCUGCAUGGUUGUCGUCAGCUCGUGCCGUGAGGUGUCGGGUUAAGUCCCAUAACGAGCGCAACCCUAUCAUUAGUUGCCAUCAGGUCAAGCUGGGGACUCUAAUGAAACUGCCUACGCAAGUAGUGAGGAAGGUGGGGAUGACGUCAAAUCAGCACGGCCCUUACGUCCAGGGCUACACACGUGCUACAAUGGCCGGUACAAAGGGCAGCUACCUGGUGACAGGAUGCUAAUCUCAAAAGCCGGUCUCAGUUCGGAUCGGAGUCUGCAACCCGACUCCGUGAAGUUGGAUUCGCUAGUAAUCGCGCAUCAGCCAUGGCGCGGUGAAUACGUUCCCGGGCCUU